Molecule: ribosomal RNA, 324 nt
Filed under: uncultured eukaryote
Lineage: Eukaryota
Description: partial 18S ribosomal RNA
Rfam family: Eukaryotic small subunit ribosomal RNA
Source: RNAcentral
CCCUUAGAUGUUCUGGGCUGCACGCGCGCUACACUGAUGCGCUCAACGAGUUUACGACCUUGCCCGGAAGGGUUGGGUAAUCUUUUUAAAACGCAUCGUGAUGGGGAUAGAUUAUUGCAAUUAUUAAUCUUUAACGAGGAAUUCCUAGUAAGCGCGAGUCAUCAGCUCGUGCUGAUUACGUCCCUGCCCUUUGUACACACCGCCCGUCGCUCCUACCGAUUGAGCGAUCCGGUGAAUGUUUUGGACUGGCGUCAGAAGCGGUUCGCUCCUGACACUACGAAAUUUUGUAAACCUUAUCGCUUAGAGGAAGGAAAAGUCGUAACA